RNAcentral lists this ribosomal RNA (624 nucleotides) under Yaginumanis wanlessi. RNAcentral's name for it is "eukaryotic LSU rRNA". The stretch from base 432 to 624 matches the Rfam family "Eukaryotic large subunit ribosomal RNA", at positions 665 to 830 of the family's 3401-position model. Lineage: Eukaryota; Metazoa; Arthropoda; Arachnida; Araneae; Salticidae. The record is from RNAcentral.
AUUGGCCGGAAAAUCGAGGAAGGGCUUCCCUGGACAGGGGCCNUCCGGCCGCGCAGUUCGCGGUAGAGCAGACGCAUUUGGCUCUCGUCCGAAGGACGCUGCAGCCGGCGGGGCAGUGCAAACGUGACGGCCUGAAGGUCGGGAAAUGGCAGGUGGCCGGUGGCGCGCCGAGUGCGCGUCGCCGGUUGUUAGCCGUCCCGUCAGUGGCCCGUCGCCCCGCCGAGGUGUCGCAAGGCCCCCUCACGGGCCCCCUCCGUCUCCUUCAGAAGGAAGCGGGCGAGAUCGUCGCUGGAGAAGGCCGCCGACCUGUCGCACUCUUCGGGAGUGGACGGUCGUCGAGUUCGGCGCCGCAGGCGACGGCGAGGCCCGCCGGAGAUCGGAGGCUCGCAGCGAGUAGGUCGGUCACCCACCCGACCCGUCUUGAAACACGGACCAAGGAGUCUAACAUGUGCGCGAGUCAAUGGGUCUUGAACAGGCCCAGGGGCGCAAUGAAAGCAAAGGCCCGCUGAACGCGGGCCGAGUCGGGAUCCCCGCCCAGAGCGGGGCGCACCGACGACCCGUCCCGUCCGGCUCGCCGGUGGGGCGGAGUGUGAGCGCACACGUUGGGACCCGAAAGAUGGUGAA